This is a non-coding RNA of Picea glauca (white spruce), 154 nucleotides long. Lineage: Eukaryota; Viridiplantae; Streptophyta; Pinopsida; Pinales; Pinaceae. The record is from Rfam.
AACUCUUGAAAACGAUUGUCUUGACUAUCAUUAUGAUUAAGAAUGGAGAAAAAUGGGAUGUUUAGUGUGAAUUGUAGAAUCUCAUGAAUCAUCGAGUUUUUCAAUGUAAUUUGUACUCAAGGCCUUUGUUGAAAGCACACCUGUAUGGGCAUUU